CCUACGGGUGGCAGCAGUGGGGAAUAUUGGACAAUGGGGGCAACCCUGAUCCAGCCAUGCCGCGUGUGUGAAGAAGGCCCUCGGGUUGUAAAGCACUUUCAGUGAGGAAGAACGCCUGGUGGUUAAUACCCAUCAGGAAAGACAUCACUCACAGAAGAAGCACCGGCUAACUCCGUGCCAGCAGCCGCGGUAAUACGGAGGGUGCGAGCGUUAAUCGGAAUUACUGGGCAUAAAGCGCGCGUAGGUGGCUUGAUAAGCCGGUUGUGAAAGCCCCGGGCUCAACCUGGGAACGGCAUCCGGAACUGUCAAGCUAGAGUGCAGGAGAGGAAGGUAGAAUUCCCGGUGUAGCGGUGAAAUGCGUAGAGAUCGGGAGGAAUACCAGUGGCGAAGGCGGCCUUCUGGACUGACACUGACACUGAGGUGCGAAAGCGUGGGUAGCAAACAGGAUUAGAUACCCGGGUAGUC
RNAcentral lists this ribosomal RNA (465 nucleotides) under Vreelandella stevensii. RNAcentral's name for it is "partial 16S ribosomal RNA". It matches the Rfam family "Bacterial small subunit ribosomal RNA", at positions 338 to 795 of the family's 1533-position model. The record is from RNAcentral. Lineage: Bacteria; Pseudomonadati; Pseudomonadota; Gammaproteobacteria; Oceanospirillales; Halomonadaceae.